MicroRNA precursor from Caenorhabditis elegans, 99 nucleotides. NCBI's taxonomy places the organism in Eukaryota, Metazoa, Nematoda, Chromadorea, Rhabditida, Rhabditidae. The record is from Ensembl.
UGAUGGCUUUUCUGGAUUUGUUCCCUUCACGUGUAGAAAGAAACGAGCAAAAAAAAUCUUAGUGUUAGCUUUUUAGUUUUCACGGUGAAUAUGGAUAUU